GACGAACGCUGGCGGCGUGCUUAACACAUGCAAGUGGAGCGACGAACCAGGGCUUGCCCUGGGGCAGAGCCGCGAACGGGUGAGUAACACGUGGGUAACCUGCCUCGAUGAUCGGGACAACCCGGGGAAACCCGGGCUAAUACCGAAUGUGCUCCGACCACACCAGUGGACGGCGUAAAGGAAGCUUCGGCCUCCGCAUCGAGAUGGGCCCGCGGCCCAUUAGCUUGUUGGUGGGGUAAAGGCCCACAAAGGGUGCGAUGGGUAGCUGGUCUGAGAGGACGAUCAGCCACACUGGGACUGAGACACGGCCCAGACUCCUACGAGAGGCAGCAGUGGGGAAUCUUGCGCAAUGCGCGAAAGCGUGACGCAGCAACGCCGUGUGGGGGAAGACGGCCUUAGGGUUGUAAACCCCUUUCAGGAGGGACGAAGGUCGGCGCGUUAAUAGCGUGUCCGACUGACGGUACCUCCACAAGAAGCCCCGGCUAACUACGUGCCAGCAGCCGCCGUAA
This 509-nucleotide ribosomal RNA is filed under the name uncultured bacterium. RNAcentral's name for it is "partial 16S ribosomal RNA". It matches the Rfam family "Bacterial small subunit ribosomal RNA", at positions 28 to 523 of the family's 1533-position model. The record is from RNAcentral.